This is a long non-coding RNA of Dalotia coriaria, 609 nucleotides long. RefSeq lists it as uncharacterized. NCBI's taxonomy places the organism in Eukaryota, Metazoa, Arthropoda, Insecta, Coleoptera, Staphylinidae. The record is from RefSeq and is a predicted model, not a curated record. The transcript is spliced from 4 exons.
GGAUGUUGUUGCCGGCAUGUUUAAGUGGCCAUUAUUAAUACAGUAUUUAGCAACUGGCGUAACAGUUGCUUUAAUUCUAAUUUCGGAAUUAAUUCAAUUUAAUCUACCAGUAAUUCCCAUUCUUCUUGUCCAUACAAUUGGAACGUGCUUAUGUGGCUUAUUCGCUGAAGAAAUGUUGCAAUUGAGCGAAGAAUUCCGAAAUGCAACUUUCUAUGGGGUAACGUGGGAUGGUGAUGUGGAAAGCGCCAAAUUUCUGAUGUUUAUGAAUAUUAAUAUGCAUAAUUCAUUUAAACUUGCUAUUGCGGGCAAUGGAAUUUAUACAAAUGAAAAAGUCCUUUUGAUUUUCAAAAUGGCGUAUACAAUUGUAAUGUAUUAUGUUAAUAUCACUGGUGAAGGCAAUCCUAAAUAUUGAUAAACGGAUAAUUAUGAUUAAGCGUCAACCUGGAUCAUUAGUCCAGAAAAUUUUGCCAACACUCAUCAAUGCGAUUUCUUAUAACUAGAUAUGCAAACACUAAACACUAUAAAAUAGUUUUAAGCACGCGAGUGGAGAGGUUGUAUUGUUCAACAAUAAUAACGCUGUUAAGACAAUGAUCAACGCUUUAUGUCAGG